UGGGGAAUAUUGGACAAUGGGGGAAACCCUGAUCCAGCAAUGCCGCGUGAGUGAAGAAGGCCUUCGGGUUGUAAAACUCUUUCGUCUGUGAAGAUUAUGACGGUAGCAGAAGAAGAAGCCCCGGCUAACUUCGUGCCAGCAGCCGCGGUAAUACGAAGGGGGCUAGCGUUGUUCGGAAUAACUGGGCGUAAAGGGCGCGUAGGCGGUCUUUUAAGUCAGGCGUGAAAGCCCCGGGCUCAACCUGGGAAAUGCGCUUGAGACUGGAAGACUAGAGUACUGUAGAGGAGAGUGGAAUUCCUAGUGUAGAGGUGAAAUUCGUAGAUAUUAGGAGGAACACCAGAGGCGAAGGCGGCUCUCUGGACAGUAACUGACGCUGAGGCGCGAAAGCGUGGGGAGCAAA
RNAcentral lists this ribosomal RNA (400 nucleotides) under uncultured bacterium. RNAcentral's name for it is "bacterial SSU rRNA". It matches the Rfam family "Bacterial small subunit ribosomal RNA", at positions 355 to 772 of the family's 1533-position model. The record is from RNAcentral.